AGAGAGAGAGAGAGAGAGAGAGAGAGAGAGAGGUAUUGGCACUUUUGUAACCUAAAUGUGGCACUUUCGUAACCUUGUGUGGCAUUUUUGUAACCUCGUGUGGCAUUUUUGUAACCUCGUGUGGCAUUUUUGUAACCUCGUGUGGCAUUUUUGUAACCUCGUGUGGCACUUUUGUAACCUGUGUGGCACUUUUGUAACCUGGCAUGCAUGUACACACUUCGUAUCUAUUUUUUCCAAGGCAAAAAACAAGAUGGCGGUGAGAAAGAGUUAUUUUGUUGACAGGUCAUAUUAGAAAGCUUUAAAAAGCUUCCCUGUCAUAUUGUUAUACCAGAAUAUGGUUUAAAAGCUUUUGGUAACGUCGUGGUUGAAAUUAAAAUUAUUUUUGUGAUGGCAAUAUUGGCAUACUAGUGGAAAGUUUGUUGAAAAAACACCAAAAUGCAAGUGUCAAUUUAAACAUGAAUAGCGUGACAGGUAUGGAGUAUUCAUUUCUUUACUUUGUUAUUUAAGAUUGUAUAAUCAAGAAAUCUAGAUGUACAAAUUCGUACUUAAGCUUGUUAUCUUCUCGAAUUAGUAGGAAUUUAUAUGGCAUUACUGUAAUUUUUUGGACCAAAGUCCAAAGGCAAUUGCCCGGCUUAUAGCUUUCAUUUAUACUAUGCUAUACUCUAGUUUGUUGUGUUGUUUUAACAGCAGUUCUUUAUUUUCAUAACGGUGUUCCUUGGCUUUUGAUGUUAGGAUUAUGAUAUUUGGUGGAUUUAUAUAAAAUAGAAUCUUUUGGGUCCUCUCACUAUUAAAAACAAAGGCUAUUAAAUCCAUUGUAAAAAUGCUCUUACUCUGGACGUCUAAAUACGUAUAGUACUUUGGUUUGAUGCUCUUGGAAUUUUAAUAGCCUUCCUAAAAGCAGCUGGGCACCUGCAUUUGUUCAUGUAGACUACUUGCAUUUAACAUUCAAAUUUUAUACUUAUGCCAGGUUGCCUAAUACUGUAGUACACAAAACUGACAAAAGUCAUAAAUGGCAUGCACACCCUAAUACAACAUUUGAAAUAUGACUGCUUAAUGCUUUUUGCUGCAUGCAUUCAGGGCACAUCACACAUUUUAUUAGGCAUUUAGUUCCAAAGGUGAAUAUACUAUACAAAACCAAACAAGUAUUAAUUAUAUGUUUUAAAUGGAAAAAUUGGAAACCAAGCCAGCAACUAGUUGUUUUUACCAUGCAGUUAAGAAGCUGCCAAUUUUGACAAAUUUCUCAUCCAUUGUGAUACAAUAACUUGAUUAAUUGCUAUUUGCUAAUAAUUUGUGUGUUAAAUUAUUUUGGGAACCCUGUUUUCCACUGAUAUUACAUACUAUACUUAAAUCAAAGUGACUAUAUGACCGGCAGCCGGUCACGGUUUAUCAAAUACUAAAUGGCCGGCAGUCUAGUGACUAUACUGUAGUUGAAUAUAAAAACUUUUGUUUGCGUUAACUUUUACCGAGCUUGCCGUUAGCUCAUACGGCAAGGGCGCUGCGUGCGAAAAGUUAAACGCAGUCGGGUCGGGAUGUGUUUUGUUUGACUUAGCAUUGUUUUUUCUUAAAAAUUUUUAAACUUUUUUUCCCGACUUUUCUAACUCUCAAAAGGUUAGGGUUAGGACUUAAGGGUUAGGGUUAGAAAAGGGUUUGGGGUUGGGGAUAGGUUUAUCUUAUAAAAAUUCAACUUUAACAAUAGUCACUAGACUGCCGGCCAUUUAGUAUUUGAUAAACCGUGACCGGCUGCCGGUCAUAUAGUCACUUCGUACUUAAAUUAAGGACAGUGUAUGAUUGGUUGGGUUACAGCAAUUUGGUUUGUUUUUUCAAUAACAGGCAUAAUAUUAUAGUGGUCCUGGCAAAAUAAAAUAUUUUUUCAGGGAGGUUAGAAAAAUACUGGUCAAUACCGGUACCACAUAAGUUAAAAUACACCAAAUUUUUCAAUAUAAUUACCCCCAAAAUAAAAAUAUUACAAAAUACAUGGUUGCUUGUGGAAAAUGUGAGGUCAGGUGACUUAGCCUUCAAAAUAUGUUUUGGUUAACUAACUUGAAUAAUGUGAAAUGUGAAAAUAUGCCUUAAGUCUAAAUAUGACUUGAUCGUAGGCUAUAAACUGAACCUCAAACAAUAACGGUUUGAUGGAAUUAAACCAGAUCUUCACAUAUAUUAAACAGCAACUAUUAUAUUAAACAGCAAGCUAUAAUUUAGACAGACUCCUAAAGCUCAUACUAGUCUGAUAGAUGAGAUAUAACCUAUUGAGUCGCAUUGUGCCCUGAUGUGCCCUACUUUAUUAUUUUACUCUGUCUAACGCUAGACGAUUUUACUCGUCAGGGGGAAAGCGCUGGUUCUUAAUGGGUUAACUGGCCUAUUUGCCCAUGUGUCUAUUUAACCCAUUGAGUCGCAUUGCGCCCUGAUUUGCCCUACUUUAUUAUUUUACUCUGUCUAACACCAGACAAUUUUACUCGUCAGCACUGCAUGGCACUUGAUGGGUUAACUGGACUAUCUUCCCAUGUGUCUAAUAUUUAACCUUGUAUUGAGUUACAUUGCCCCCUGAUGUGCCCUACUUUAUUAUUUUAAUGAUCUGGGUUCUUGUACUUCACUUGGUGGAAUUAAUAUUAGAAUGUUAGGGUUUGUAAUCCAAGUGAGAAUAUAUACAUUUUUUAAGACCUAACCAGGAACGACUGCGAAAAAUGCAGCACAAGAUCCUCUGGUAGGAAUUGAACCAACGGCCCUGCGAUUCUGGUGAAUCUGAAUCGCAGGGCCGUAGGUUCCGAGCGCUGCACCGGAAUCGCAGGGCUGUAGGUUCAAUUCCUACUGGAGGACCUUGUGCUGCAUUUUUCGCAGUCGUUCCUGGUUAGGUCUUAAAAAAUGUAUAUAUUCUCACUUGGAUUACAAACCCUAACAUACUAAUAUUAAUUCCACCAAGUGAAGUGCAAGAAUCCAGAUCAUUGAAGUCCACCUUAUCACAACCCGCACACCCGAUUACCUAUAUAUACAUGAACUUACGGUUACAGCUAAACAGCUGACCUCUGUAGCUCAGUUGGUUAGAGCGCUGCACCGGAAUCGCAGGGCCGUAGGUUCAAUUCCUACCAGAGGACCUUCUGCUGCAUUUUUCGCAGUCGUUCCUGGUUAGGUCUUAAAAAAUGUAAUAUAUAUUCUCAAUUACAAACCCUAACAUUCUAACUUUAUUAUUUUACUCAGUCUAACGCCAGACGAUUUUACUUCUCAGGGGGAGAGCGCUGGUGCUUAAUGGGAUAAACAAGAAUUUUGCUGGGUAGAUAAUUUAUAUAACUUCAGCGAAACCAAAUUUACAUUGAGAUAACAUGUUAAAAUGUGAAAAAUAAAAUGGCUUAAGUCUAAAUAUGUCUUGAUCACAGGCUAUGAACUGAUCCUGAAACAAAAACGGUUUGAUGGAUUUAAUUACUGUAAACCAAUUAUUCACAUAUUAGAUGAUGAAUGUUUGGAAAGAUUACACAAUGCAAAUAUAUAGUUUACUGAUUGUAUUAUGGCUUUGUCGGCAGCUUACAUUGGUUUUGUUAUGGAUAUAUAGGGUGUUACACUUAUCUUCACAAAAUAUCAUAAAGCCACCUUAGCAGGCUGCACUGUAACUUAGACUCAUGAAGCUCAUGCUACUGAUAGAUUAGAUAUAGACGUCAAGUAUCUUGCUGGGUAAAUUUAUAUAACUUUAGUGAAACAAAAUAUGUACAUUAAGAUGACAUGCAUGUAACCAUGCAUGAGUCUUCAAACAAAAACGGUUUGAUGGAAUGAAACCAAACCUUCACAUAUUAGAGAAUGAAUGUUUGGAAAGAUUAUACAAUGAAAGUAUAUAGUUUAUUGAUAGUCUUAUGGCUUUGUCGGCUGCUUACAUUGGUUUGUUAUGAUUAUAUAGGGUGUUAAUUAUCUUCAUAAAACAUCAUAAAGCCACCUUAAUUAGCAUGCUACAGUAUAACUCAGACGUGGACUCAUGAAGCUUAUGAACCAAAUUUACAUUAAGAUGAUAUGUAGCCGGUCCACAAACAAAAACGGUUUGAUAGAAUUAAACCAGACCUUCACAUAUUUGAGAAUGAAUGUUUGAUAUUAUGGUUUGUCGGCAGCUUAUACAUUGGUUUUGUUAUGAGUAUAAGGUGUUAAUUAUCUUGAUAAAAUAUCAUAAAGCUAUACCUUAACAGGCUAUAAUUACUUUCGACAUAGACUCAUAAAGCUCAUGCAUGCUACUUAUAGAUGAGAUAUGGACAAGUAUUUUGCUGGGUAGAUUAUUUAUAUAAUUUCAGCAAAACCAAAUUUACAUUAAGAUGACAUGUUAAUUAAAAUGUGAAAAUAUGCCUUAAGUCUAAAUAUGACUAGUUGAUCGCAGGCUAUGAAUUGGUCCUCAAACAAAAACGGUUUGAUGGAAUUCAACCAGACCUUCACACAUUAGAGAAUGAAUGUUUGGAAAGAUUAUACAAUGAAAAUUUAUAGUUUAUUGAUAGUCCUAUGGCUUUGUCUAUAAUCUUUGUUGUGAUUAUAUACUGUAAGGUGUUAAAUACCUUGAUAAAACAUCAUAAAGUCACCUUAAUACAUUAUAGAUAACGUUAGACAUAGACUCAUGAAGCUCAUGCUACUUGAGAUAUAGACAAGAGAAUGAUUUGAGAUAUAAUAGAUAUAGAGAAAGAAUGUUUGGAAAGAUUAUACAAUGAAUUUCUUACCCUCUACAUUUUCUGCAACCUCCUUGCUACAUUGUUCUAGAAGUUACAUGAGCUGUUAAUAUUUGGUAUAAGCGGUAUAAGAGGAGAAAUUCAUCUCAACAUGCUUGUAAAAUUUUUCUUCACACAGGAAAAGAGAAAUGAUGUUGGCAAAUGGUGAUAGAUGUUAACCAAAGGCGAAGUUUCUUCCUUGCUGCUCUUAAAUCAUUCUUGCAUGUUGAAGUUGACAUUACUAAUGGAUAAGAUGUAGACUCAUCAAACACUGCAGGAUUGUGCACUCUGGAGUUAUGAAUGCUGCGUUCCUGUUGUUCUUUCGAGUCUAUAAAUGAAUGCCUUCUUUUGGAACAACCUUCAACAUUUGGCAUCGCAAUGUGGACUUUUUAAAGGGUGAGUCGAAAGGCAUGGUAAUGUGACGAGGCUAAUGAACAAUUUAGUUUUGUCGAUGCUUACUGCAAGUUUAAAGUACAGUACGUACAUGUAAUUCUUAUUUAGUAGUUCCUUGGGCAUUAUAGCUAGGUACAAGCCAAUAUAUACAGGGUGUAUAAAAAAAAGGAGACCUUUAGAAAACAAUUAGCAUAUUGUUAAAACUUGAAUGCCUUCUCAAUUGCACAUAUGCUGA
RNAcentral lists this long non-coding RNA (5292 nucleotides) under Paramuricea clavata. The stretch from base 3017 to 3089 matches the Rfam family "tRNA". Lineage: Eukaryota; Metazoa; Cnidaria; Anthozoa; Malacalcyonacea; Plexauridae. The record is from RNAcentral.